Long non-coding RNA from Neopsephotus bourkii (Bourke's parrot), 252 nucleotides. RefSeq lists it as uncharacterized. The record is from RefSeq and is a predicted model, not a curated record. The transcript is spliced from 2 exons. NCBI's taxonomy places the organism in Eukaryota, Metazoa, Chordata, Aves, Psittaciformes, Psittacidae.
UUGGACACAGGGGCUUGGAGCAAGAUGCUCCAGUGGAAGGGGUCCCUGCCUGUGGCAGGGGUUGGAACUGGAUGAGCUUUAAGGUCCCUUCCAACACAAACCAUUCCAGGGUUCUAUGAUAAAUGUUAAUGCUUUUCAUUGAAAAAAAAACCUUUAAAAAGAGGCUUCAUGGUAGUUCACAAAGGCUGGGAUCUUCAUGACUACAGUUGUGUGACUCUUGGUUUCAGCAGAAUAAAUGCAGUAAUAGCAAUA